AUGGGCUGCACCCACUCCACUGUGGUGCAAACCAACAGCCGUGCCUCCUCCUGCCUCAUCCCACUGCGGUCAGAUGCCGACAGAGGCUCCUGUGGAGUCCCUGGACCCUCGUCCUCUUCCAAGUCUUGGCCCCUCCCACUCCAUCACUUUGAGCCAGCUCCUGGGCCUGGCCUUGGGCCUCCGCUGCCUCUACCACGGACCCACGCUCGCAAAGUCAAUGAGCUUUGGGCCUUUGUGAAGGUGUGUAGGCAGGACCCGAGCGUCCUGCACACCAAGGAGAUGCGCUUCCUGCGGGACUGGGUGGAGAGCGUGGGGGGUAAAGUACCACCUGCUACUCAUAAAGCUAAAUCAGAAGAAAACAUAAAGGAAGAAAAAACAGAUAAUAAGAGAGAGGAAAGCAUAAAGACAGAUGAACCAUCAAGUGAGGAAAGUGAUCUGGAAAUUGACAAUGAAGGUGUAAUCGAACCAGACACUGAUGCCCCUUAAGAAAUGGGGGAUGAAAAUGUAGAGCUAACUGAGAUGGUGGAUCAAGCAAAUGAAAAGGAAGGGGCUGCCAUCGAAGCCCUGAGUGAAGGUCAACUGCAGAAAGCCAUUGACUUGUUCGCAGAUGCCAUCAAGCUAAAUCCUCGCUUGGCCAUUCUGUACGCCAAGAGAGCCAGUGUCUUCGUCAAAUUACAGAAGCCAAAUGCUGCCAUUCGAGACUGUGACAGAGCCAUUGAAAUAAAUCCUGAUUCGGCUCAGCCUUAUAGAUGGCGAGGGAAAGCACACAGACUGGGGGGCCAUUGGGAAGAAGCAGCCCCUGAUCUUGCCCUUGCCUGUGAACUGGAUUAUGAUGAGGAUGCCAGUGCAAUGCUGAAAGAAGUUCAACUGAGGGCUCAGAAAAUUGCUGAACACCGAAGUACGAGCAAAAACGGGAGGAGCGAGAGGUAAAGGAGAGAACUGAGAGGGUCAAGAAGCCUUGAGAGGAGCAUGAGAGAGCCCAGAGGGAAGAAGAGGCCAGAGGACAAGCAGAAGCUCAGUUUGGCUCUUUCCCAGGUGGUUUUCCUGGAGGAAUGCCUGGCAAUUUUCCUGGAGGAAUGCCUGGAAUGGGAGGGGGCAUGCCUGGAAUGGCAGGAAUGCCUGGACUCAAUGAAAUUCUCAGUGAUCCAGAGGUUCUUGCAGCCAUGCAGGAUCCAGAAGUUAUGGUGGCCUUCCAGGAUGUGGCCCAGAACCCUGCAAACGUCAGAAUAUCAGAGCAACCCAAAGGUUAUGAAUCUCAUCAGUAAAUUGUCAGCCGAAUUUGGAGGUCAAGCAUAAUGUCCAUUUGACAAAGCCCUUACUGAAGGAAAAGCAGCCUAGAUCACUUAAUGGAUGUCGCAAUAAUCUAAACCAGUGUACCUCUGACCUUCUCAUCAGGAGAGCCGGGGUGCUUCGAAGAUAAUCCCU
Molecule: RNA transcript, 1425 nt
Organism: Nannospalax galili (Upper Galilee mountains blind mole rat)
Lineage: Eukaryota; Metazoa; Chordata; Mammalia; Rodentia; Spalacidae
Gene name: hsc70-interacting protein pseudogene
Exons: 2
Source: RefSeq, a predicted model, not a curated record